RNAcentral lists this unclassified non-coding RNA (352 nucleotides) under soil metagenome. RNAcentral's name for it is "partial contains 5.8S ribosomal RNA, internal transcribed spacer 2, and large subunit ribosomal RNA". The stretch from base 1 to 120 matches the Rfam family "5.8S ribosomal RNA", at positions 35 to 154 of the family's 154-position model. The record is from RNAcentral.
GAUGAAGAACGUAGCGAAAUGCGAUACGUAAUGUGAAUUGCAGAAUUCAGUGAAUCAUCGAAUCUUUGAACGCACAUUGCGCCCGCCAGUAUUCUGGCUGGCAUGCCUGUUCGAGCGUCAUUACAACCCUCAGGCCCCCGGGCCUGGCGUUGGGGAUCGGCGGAGCCCCCCGUGGGCACACGCCGUCCCCCAAAUACAGUGGCGGUCCCGCCGCAGCUUCCAUCGCGUAGUAGCUAACACCUCGCGACUGGAGAGCGGCGCGGCCACGCCGUAAAACACCCAACUCUUCUGAAGUUGACCUCGAAUCAGGUAGGAAUACCCGCUGAACUUAAGCAUAUCAAUAAGCGGAGGA